RNAcentral lists this ribosomal RNA (254 nucleotides) under uncultured bacterium. RNAcentral describes it as "partial 16S ribosomal RNA". It matches the Rfam family "Bacterial small subunit ribosomal RNA", at positions 524 to 776 of the family's 1533-position model. The record is from RNAcentral.
UACGGGGGGAGCAAGCGUUGUUCGGAUUUACUGGGCGUAAAGGGCGCGUAGGCGGCCAGCACAAGUCAGUUGUGAAAUCUCCGAGCUUAACUCGGAACGGUCAACUGAUACUGUGCGGCUAGAGUGCAGAAGGGGCAACUGGAAUUCUUGGUGUAGCGGUGAAAUGCGUAGAUAUCUGGAGGAACACCGGUGGCGAAGGCGGCAUCCUGGACCAACACUGACACUGAGGAGCGAAAGCCAGGGGAGCAAACGGG